Molecule: unclassified non-coding RNA, 245 nt
Filed under: Hevea brasiliensis (rubber tree)
Lineage: Eukaryota; Viridiplantae; Streptophyta; Magnoliopsida; Malpighiales; Euphorbiaceae
Source: RNAcentral
ACCCGCCUGAAGGUAAACUCAAGACCCAGAAUGAUAUUGAUUCCGUUGCUGCAAAAAUUGAUAACCAUGUGAGGGAUUUGGAGGUUCUUGUUAAGAAUGGGGUUCUUCAAGAAAACGGUGCUGUUUCGACCAAUAUUACAUCGAAGAGGGAGACUAUACGGGCGGAAUCGAGGAAUCUGAUAACACGGCUUCAGAUCGGGACGACUGAGUCGAAGAACUCGGUUUUGGAUUCGUUACUUGGGUUG